RNAcentral lists this ribosomal RNA (484 nucleotides) under uncultured bacterium. Its description in RNAcentral is "partial 16S ribosomal RNA". It matches the Rfam family "Bacterial small subunit ribosomal RNA", at positions 28 to 507 of the family's 1533-position model. The record is from RNAcentral.
GAUUAACGCUAGCGGCAGGUAUAAUACGUGCAAGUUGAACGGCAGCACAGGUAGCAAUACUGGGUGGCGAGUGGCGCACGGGUGCGUAACACGUAUGCAACCUACCCUAUACAGGCGAAUAACCUUUAGAAAUGAGGGCUAAUACGCCGUAGUAUUACAGAUGGGCAUCUAUUUGUAAUUAAAGAUUUAUCGGUAUAGGAUGGGCAUGCGUCCCAUUAGUUAGUUGGUAAGGUAACGGCUUACCAAGACGAUGAUGGGUAGGGGAUCUGAGAGGACUUACCCCCACACUGGUACUGAGACACGGACCAGACUCCUACGGGAGGCAGCAGUAAGGAAUAUUGGGCAAUGGCCGCGAGGCUGACCCAGCCAUGCCGCGUGCAGGAAGACGGCCUUAUGGGUUGUAAACUGCUUUUAUACGGGAAUAAUAGAGUGUACGCGUACAUUUAUGCAAGUAUCGUAUGAAUAAGCAUCGGCUAACUCCGUG